Molecule: small RNA, 6643 nt
Filed under: Pongo abelii (Sumatran orangutan)
Lineage: Eukaryota; Metazoa; Chordata; Mammalia; Primates; Hominidae
Description: processed transcript
Source: RNAcentral
GGUUGCUAUAGUUGUCGAAAACAUAACUGAGGCUGCUGCAGACACAAAAGAAAACCAGAGGGACUUUUCCCAGUUGGUGAUAUGGAGCAAGUGCCAUCAGCAGGCAGACUCGUGCAGAUCACCGUGACAGAGGGAUAUGAUUUGAAAGGUUUUAAAGGAGAUACUCCAGUUACCUUUAUUCGGGCAGAAUUCAAUCAAGUGGUUCUGGGAGACUCCGCAAAAAUUACUGUUUCUCCAGAAGGAAGUGCAAAAUACAACUUCACUAGCAGUUUUGAGUUUAAUCCUGAAGGAGGAAUCACUUUAGAUGACCUCGCUCACAAACCUGUGUUCUUGACUGUGACUGAAGUUUUACCAAAGGAAAAGAAACAGAAAGAAGAGAAGACCUUAAUUCUUGGUCAGGCUGUGGUGGACCUUCUUCCCUUACUGGAAGUGCCGUCUUGAAGUUAAAGUAUUAGUGGCAGAGCCUUUACUGACCACAGCCCAGAUCUCAGGGGGCAAUCUACUGAAGGUCACGUUGGAAGCUGCUUACUCUGUGCCUGAAUCCUUCAUUCUAACAGGUCCUGGGCAGAACUACAUGGUCGGUCUGCAAGUUCCAUCACUUGGAGAGAAGGACUAUCCCAUUUUAUUUAAGAAUGGAACUCUGAAGCUUGGAGGUGAAAGGGAACCUGUUCCCCGGCCCAAAAAGUGGCCAAUUGCCAACAUUCUGGCUCCAGGAGCUAAUAACAUUCCUGAUGCAUUCAUUGUUGGUGGUCCCUAUGAAGAAGAAGAAGGAGAACUCAACCAUCCUGAGGACAGCGAAUUUAGGAAUCAAGCAGAGUGCAUAAAGAAAAGGAUUAUUUGGGACUUGGAAAGUCGCUGCUACCUUGAUCCUUCUGCAGUGGUCAGUUUUCAGAAGCGAAUUGCCGAUUGCCGGCUUUGGCCUGUAGAGAUCACAAGAGUUCCUCUGGUCACUGUACCCAAAGGGAAAGCUGGCAAAACUGAAAAGGUGUGAAGAGAAUUCGGGGAGCUUUUCAUGUUUACCCUUACCUAGACAGUGUAGUCCAUGAAAAGACCAAAUGUUUAUUGAGCUUGUUCCGGGAUAUUGGCCAUCACUUGAUUCAUAAUAAUAAAAUAGGAGGAAUUAAUUCUCUGCUGUCCAAACAAGCUGUUUCUAAGAAUCUGAAAGAAGAUAAACUGGUGAAAGAAAAGGAUAUAGAUGGAAGGCCUAGGCCUGGGGAUGUGCAGGCACCUAGUAUAAAAUCUCAGAGCUCAGAUACUCCUUUGGAAGGUGAACCCCCUCUAAGUCACAAUCCUGAAGGACAGCAAUAUGUAGAAGCAGGGACAUACGUUGUGUUGGAAAUUCAGCUGGACAAAGCCUUGGUUCCAAAGCGAAUGCCAGAGGAGCUAGCCAGAAGGGUCAAGGAAAUGAUUCCUCCAAGGCCUCCUCUUACCCGUCGGACAGGAGGAGCUCAGAAGGCAAUGAGUGACUACCACAUACAGAUCAAGAAUAUUUCUAGAGCCAUUCUAGAUGAGUACUACAGAAUGUUUGGAAAACAGGUGGCCAAACUGGAGAGUGAUAUGGAUAGUGAAACCUUGGAGGAGCAGAAGUGCCAGCUCAGCUAUGAACUUAAUUUCUCUGGAAAAUACUUUGCUUUCAAAGAACAACUCAAGCAUGCUGUGGUAAAGAUUGUGAGAGAUAAAUACUUGAAGACAACAUCAUUUGAAAGCCAGGAGGAACUGCAGACAUUUAUCAGUGAGCUCUAUGUGUUCUUAGUAGAUCAGAUGCAUGUAGCCCUAAACCAGGUAAGUGUCAAGAACUGAGAGCACUUUCUUUUCUCUGUAGAGUCUUCUAUGAAUGAUUCUUCCUUUGUUUAUUCAACAAAUAUUUAUUGAAGUGUCUGCUCUGUGCUAGGCACUGAAAACACAAAGAUGAGUAAGAAACUGCCUAAGCCUAAUUAGUUUAAGACUAAUUUUGGAAAAAAAAACAAGGAGAUAUGCUCUUUCAAUUUCCUAGAAAAAUAAAUUUCACAACUUUAAAAAAUGUGAUGGAAUUGUCAAAAAUAGAUAAAAUAGGUUGCAUAAAUUGUGAAAUGAAAAUUAUCAUUCUAUUUAUUCUGUGAACAGGUACAGUUCUUAAUUUUUUAUUGAAGAUCAUAAAAGCGGAGAAAAACUUUGAGUUUUCAGAUAUUAGACCCAAAUGACAGUGACACUUGAAACAUGCCUUUUCUGUUUGACUGGUGGUCUGCUGUCCCACCCACUUUUCUGUUUAUAUUUGUAAGUCUUGCAUCUUGCCUUCAUUUGCUUAUUUUUGUUUGUAUUCAGGGGUAGUUUAUUUGAAACCAGUGACAAAGUCACAGUCUUUUUGUCCCCUGGUAGUGUCUAACCAUCUGUGCCUCCUCAAAUUCUUUAUUCUAUUUGCUUUUCCCUUCCUUGUUUUUCUUCUCUACCACCAUCACCUCUUGUUUCACUUUGUUCUGUCUUCCUGGAGGAGGUAGGACAGGAGUGUCCAGCAUCAAAGGAUUAAGAGAACAGUCCUGCCUUGGGCAUGGAUGAUUUGAUUUGAAAAGCAAUUGAGAGUGGAGCAUGAGAAAAAGAAGUUUUGACUUUUUCCUCACUAGUAGUUGGGAGCAAUACAGUGAAUUAUUUUACACUGAGGUAUAACAUGAUCAGGUUUACAUUUGCUAAAACACUCUGAUAGCACUAUGGAGGAUGAGUUAGAGGUGACAAAACUGUGAUGUUAGUUGAUUAUUGCAUAAUAAGGAGGAAAAAGUUUAAGUUAAGUUUCAAUGGGUAAUUGAUACCAUUCAGUACUUCUUGGUUGAUACUAAAAAGAAAAGAAAAACAUUAACCAGGACAUGGAAUGCAAUUAUGAGUAAAUUUGGUGGGAGGCAGAUGGUACUGAAUUCGCUUUUGAACAUAGGCUCUAGUGGGGUUUUGCCCAAGAUAGAGAUCUGAGCUAGAGAUGAGAUUUGGGGAGCCAUGAUAUAUGGAUGCUAUGGUCAUAGAUGAGCUGCCUGAGAAAAACAUAAGAGAGAAGAGAGCUGGCAGUAGAACUCUAGGAAAUACCAACAUUUAAGGACUGAAUGAAAAAUUGAAAGAGACAAGUGGGAUUGUUAAAGAGGCAAAGAGCCAGAGACAAUGGUGUCACAGAAGCCAAAGGAAAAGAAUUUUAAGGAAAAGUGGUCAACACUGUUAAAUACUCCUAGGAAUUCAAGAAAAACAAAUCUGAAGUCUUCACUGGAUUUGACAAUAAGGAAGUUAUUGUUAACCUUUACAUAGCAAUAUUAUUGGGCUAAUGGGGGGAUUCAAAUUAUGAUGAAUUGAGGAGUAAAUGAGCAAUCAAGAAACAGAUGAAUAUAAAUUCAAGUUGGAUGAUGAAGGAAAAAACUGGAAAAGUAGUAGCUAGAAGUUAUAGGGAUUUUCUUCCCUCCCUCCCUCCCUUCAUUCAUUUCUUUCUUUCUUUCUCUUUCUCUCUUUCUCUCUCUCUCUCUUUCUUUCUUUCUCACCCAGGCUGGAGUGCAGCAGUGCAAUCGUGGCUCACUAUAGCCUCAACUUCCCAGGCUCAAGCAAUCCUGCUACCUCAGCCUCCCAAGUAGCUGGGACUACAAGUGCACACCACGCCUAGCUAAUUUUUGUAUUUUUUUGUAGAGAUGGGGUUUCACCAUGUUGCCCAGGCUGGUCUCAAACUCUUGGACUCAAGCGAUCCACCAGCCAUGGCCUUCCAAAGUGCUGGGAUUACAGGCAUGAGCCACCCGCUCCUGGCCUGGGAUUUUCUUUCUAAGAUGAAAAAGACUUGAGCACAUCCACAGGUUUGGGAAAAAGUCAGCAGAGUGGGAGAAGCUGAAAAUUGAGGAAAGAGAGGGGAUAAUUGAUGGCAGGCUCAGGGUAUACACCUGGGAAAGGACCAAGAAUUUAAAUGGAAGGAUUAACUUUGAAACAGUGAAGGCUGCAAUACCUCUUUCUCUGAGACUGAAAAGAAAGUGAUACAAUAGAUCCAGAAAUAAAUAAUUUAGCUAGGGAGUAUAAUAGUUGAGGGAUUUCUUACUUAAUGAUUUCUAUUAUCUCUGUGAAGUAAGGUCUUUACUGAAAGUGAAGGGGAUGAGGAUUGAAUGAAAAACUUGAAGAAAGAGAAGAAAACUUAGAUACUGCAAAGCAUUAUGGAAUAUGCUGCUAAGCAAAGACAGAUACAUAGAUUACUAAGGGUAUUAAAGGUCUCCAGCUAAGACUGAAUGCCACAAGAGUUUGUGGCAGCUUAGAUACCAAUCUCUGUGUCUAUGCAGUUUUCCUUAGGACCUGUUAGCUGCUCUUGUCUUAGAAUGAAGAAGUCAGAUUGUACUAUUGUUUUAAUUUGAGAAGUUUCAGGACAAGUGCAGGAGAAGGACAAGGAUGCCUGAGAUGAAAGUAUGCUGGUGAGAGAGUAGCCUGAGUGGGUAAUCAUGAGGUUCAGACUGAUCCAUUUGGGAAGUGAUGGGCUUAUUGGAACUGAAGGAAAUAAAGUCAGCAGUUUUCAGUGGGCUAAGUAACAAAAAGGUGGAAGACAAGACAUGGAGUGUUGGUUCUGGGAGUGGGAUAUUAGAGUAUUCUGUUUGGGGUCUAGAAGUGCAUUGCUGCAGGGAUUUGGGGGUCAAGAUAAUCAAAACUAAAAAGAACAGGACAAAAGCAUUAAUCAGUGAUCAGAAACUCUCUUUGGCCUAUCUCAAAUUUGGCUUUACUGUCCACAUUUCUUAGCAAUUAUCCUUAUUAAAAUCACUGAUAUUAUUUUGACUUCUAAUUAAAGAAUUUUGUGGACUCUUUCUUGACCAUAGCUUCUGACUCAGAAGAUUCCUAAUUACACCAGACCUGCUCUCCCAAUCUGUGUGUAUAGGAUAUAUUCUUUUUCUGGUUUUCCUCCUACCUUUUUGUUUCCUUUGAAGGAUCUAUCAGUCUAUAUUUCCUACUAAAACUAUAGAUUUGGCUUCUAAAGGUUAACCCUUAAUCUCCUGUUUUCUUCACAUUUAAAGACCCUAGCGAGGGCUUACCAACCUUUUUCAUGUCAUGACACAAAAAAAUGAUAAUAUUUGUCAUAUACACUAGAGAAAAUGAAGGAAGCUGUUUGAGGUCAGAGGUGACCUGCAUAGGGACUACGAAUGCCCUGAGGGUUAAGGCAGUUAUUUCUGCCCUAAGCAAUUUUUACUUACUUCCAUGAGCUCAGACUGUUGGUAUUCAGAUACCUGAGCUUCUCUUUCACCCUUGACAUUUCUCUCCUGGUUCAUUCUUAUUCUUUUACUUUUUUGGCAAGACUGUCAUUAUAGACAUCAAUCAGUAACAUUUUAGACGUCAUGACUGGAUCUCACAUCGGAUUUAUGCUUAUGAAACCUCUCUACUUGUAAUUGUUUCAUUUUUGUCUACCUAACAUCUUGACAUUGACAAGACCAUGCCAGAUGAUGUCCAAGGCACUGUUGCAACCAUUUAUACAAGCAGUGAACAGCUUCAACUCUUUGCAUUUGAAGCAGAAGUCAAUGAGAACUUUGAGAUGGCAGCAGCAUAUUAUAAAGAGAGAUUGGUCCGUGAGCCCCAGAAUCUGGAUCACUGGUUGGACUAUGGUGCCUUCUGCCUCCUAACUGAAGACAACAUCAAAGCACAAGAGUGUUUUCGGAAAGCCCUUUCCCUCAACCAGAGUCAUAUCCACAGCUUGUUGCUGUGUGGUGUCCUGGCUGUCCUGUUGGAGAACUAUGAGCAAGCAGAAAUUUUCUUUGAGGAUGCUACUUGCUUGGAACCAACUAAUGUUGUAGCCUGGACUUUACUUGGUUUGUACUAUGAAAUUCAAAACAAUGAUAUUCGAAUGGAAAUGGCAUUUCAUGAGGCCUCCAAACAGCUUCAGGCAUGGAUGCUUCAGGCACAAGUAACAAAGCAAAAGAGCACUGGUGUUGUAGAAGACACUGAGGAAAGAGGGAAGAGAGAAUCUAGUUUAGACCCUUGGGGAAUCACAAAUGGUUCUGCAACAGCAAUCAAGGUGGAAGCCCCAGCAGUAUGUGCACAGAGUGCUUGCACAUGAGCUGUUAUGCCCUCAAGGAGGCCCCAGCUGUGAAUAUUACUUGGUGCUGGCCCAAACACACAUUCUUAAGAAGGACUUUGCCAAGGCAGAGGAAUACCUUCAACAAGCAGCCCAGAUGGACUACCUGAACCCCAAUGUCUGGGGCCUGAAGGGCCAUCUCUAUUUUCUGAGUGGAAAUCAUUCUGAGGCCAAGGCAUGCUAUGAACGAACCAUUAGCUUUGUAGUGGAUGCUUCUGAGAUGCACUUCAUCUUCCUGCGACUGGGGCUCAUCUAUCUGGAAGAGAAAGAGGUUGGACGGCAAUUAGAAGCUGAGCAGGCCUACAAGUACAUGAUCAAGCUGAAAUUGAAAGAUGAGGCUCUGCUUGCAGAGAUCCACACACUACAGGAAACAGUUGGCUUUGGAAAUCCAUCUUUCUGAUACCCCUCCAGCUGAACAAUUUUCUGCAUGGGACUCUGAGUUCCUUUCCUUCCCAGAGAGUUUUACCAUAUGAAGCCUGGAGCUGGAGAAUGAAAGAAUCUUCACUAUAAACAGAGACCCAUUCAUUUAUUUCCAUUGGCUGUGUUACUGGAUGUUUUACUGGUUGACGAGAAACUGGGUCACAAUAAAAAAUGGAGAUAUGAAACUCAAAA